GAUGAACGCUGGCGGCGUGCCUAAUACAUGCAAGUCGAGCGAACGGACGAGAAGCUUGCUUCUCUGAUGUUAUCGGCGGACGGGUGAGUAACACGUGGAUAACCUACCUAUAAGACUGGGAUAACUUCGGGAAACCGGAGCUAAUACCGGAUAAUAUUUUGAACCGCAUUGUUCAAAAGUGAAAGACGGUCUUGCUGUCACUUAUAGAUGGAUCCGCGCUGCAUUAGCUAGUUGGUAAGGUAACGGCUUACCAAGGCAACGAUGCAUAGCCGACCUGAGAGGGUGAUCGCACAGCCUGUAACUGAGACACGGUCCAGACUCCUACGGGAGGCAGCAGUAGGGAAUCUUCCGCGAUGGGCGAAAGCCUGACGUAGCAACGCCGCGUGAGUGAUGAAGGUCUUAGGAUCGUAAAACUCUGUUAUUAGGGAAGAACAUAUGUGUAAGUAACUGUGAACAUCUUGACGGUACCUAAUCAGAAAGCCACGGCUAACUACGUG
Molecule: ribosomal RNA, 497 nt
Filed under: uncultured bacterium
Lineage: Bacteria
Description: partial 16S ribosomal RNA
Rfam family: Bacterial small subunit ribosomal RNA
Source: RNAcentral